ACAUACUAAUAAUUAAAUGGGUAUUUUGUGGAAAAUAAAAUAAAAUAAUAAAGCAUAAUCACCUCUUGGAGAUAAGAAGCCACCGCAAAAUGCAUAACCUUAUAGCUUUGAUUAUAAUCUCUAAAGGAAAAAUAUAUAUAUAUUGGAUUCACCGCUAUAUGGCUGACCGGCGAUUACUAGCGAUUCCGGCUUCAUGCAGGCGAGUUGCAGCCUGCAAUCCGAACUAAGGACGGGUUUUUGGAAUUAGCUCACCCUCGCGGAAUCGCGACCCUUUGUCCCGGCCAUUGUAGCACGUGUGUCGCCAGGGCAUAAGGGGCAUGAUGACUUGACGUCAUCUUCACCUUCCUCCAACUUAUCACCGGCAGUCUGUUUAGGGUUCCAAAUUCAACAAUGGCAACUACAAAAAGAGGGUUGCGCUCAUUGCAGGACUU
Molecule: long non-coding RNA, 431 nt
Filed under: Olea europaea subsp. europaea
Lineage: Eukaryota; Viridiplantae; Streptophyta; Magnoliopsida; Lamiales; Oleaceae
Source: RNAcentral